GCCUGGCUGGCUCAGUUGGUUGAGCAUCCGACUUCAGCUCAGGUCAUGAUCUCAUGGUUUGUGGGUUCAAGCCCCGCAUCGGGUU
This 85-nucleotide transfer RNA is filed under the name Felis catus (domestic cat). It matches the Rfam family "tRNA". Rfam says of the family: Transfer RNA (tRNA) molecules are approximately 80 nucleotides in length. Their secondary structure includes four short double-helical elements and three loops (D, anti-codon, and T loops). The record is from Rfam by way of RNAcentral. Lineage: Eukaryota; Metazoa; Chordata; Mammalia; Carnivora; Felidae. RNAcentral also lists the same sequence under 2 other names.